Molecule: non-coding RNA, 322 nt
Filed under: Heyndrickxia coagulans
Lineage: Bacteria; Bacillati; Bacillota; Bacilli; Caryophanales; Bacillaceae
Description: Bacillus coagulans Group I catalytic intron
Rfam family: Group I catalytic intron
About the family: Group I catalytic introns are large self-splicing ribozymes. They catalyse their own excision from mRNA, tRNA and rRNA precursors in a wide range of organisms.
Source: RNAcentral
CAGUCGUCCUAACUGGUAACGGUUAGAGAUUAUGACCGGGUGAAUUGCUGGAAAACCCUGAGAGCUUUUCUUGCCACAACGAAGCUGGAAACAGCAGGCGUGAGGGCUUGAAAAAAGAAGAGAUUGGGCAAUCAGCAGCCAAGCUCCUGUCUCGAAAGAGUGGAGAAGGUUCAACGACUAGGAUAAACCGCCUAAGGCGCGUGCUAUGGCGAUGAAAUCCGUAGGUGAGGUAAUGCCGUUCAACAUUGCCAAUCCGAAGUGCCCGGCUCCUCCAGAAAGCUGGAGGAUGAAGAUAUAGUCUUGUCAUUUGUGAAAGCAAAUG